ACGAACGCUGGCGGCAUGCCUAACACAUGCAAGUCGAACGAGACCUUCGGGUCUAGUGGCGCACGGGUGCGUAACGCAUGGGAACCUGCCCUUAGGUUCGGAAUAACUCCCCGAAAGGGGUGCUAAUACCGGAUAAUGUCUUCGGACCAAAGAUUUAUCGCCUUUGGAUGGGCCCGCGUUGGAUUAGCUAGUUGGUAGGGUAAAAGCCUACCAAGGCGACGAUCCAUAGCUGGUCUGAGAGGAUGAUCAGCCACACUGGGACUGAGACACGGCCCAGACUCCUACGGGAGGCAGCAGUGGGGAAUAUUGGACAAUGGGCGAAAGCCUGAUCCAGCAAUGCCGCGUGAGUGAUGAAGGCCUUAGGGUUGUAAAGCUCUUUUACCCGGGAUGAUAAUGACAGUACCGGGAGAAUAAGCUCCGGCUAACUCCGUG
RNAcentral lists this ribosomal RNA (432 nucleotides) under uncultured bacterium. RNAcentral's name for it is "partial 16S ribosomal RNA". It matches the Rfam family "Bacterial small subunit ribosomal RNA", at positions 29 to 507 of the family's 1533-position model. The record is from RNAcentral.